This 253-nucleotide ribosomal RNA is filed under the name uncultured bacterium. RNAcentral describes it as "partial 16S ribosomal RNA". It matches the Rfam family "Bacterial small subunit ribosomal RNA", at positions 524 to 776 of the family's 1533-position model. The record is from RNAcentral.
UACAGAGGGUGCAAGCGUUAAUCGGAAUUACUGGGCGUAAAGCGUGCGUAGACGGUUAUGUAAGUCAGGUGUGAAAGCCCCGGGCUCAACCUGGGAAUUGCAUUUGAGACUGCAUAGCUAGGGUGCGGAAGAGGGAAGCGGAAUUUCCGGUGUAGCGGUGAAAUGCGUAGAUAUUGGGAGGAACACCAGUGGCGAAGGCGGCUACCUGGACCGGAACUGACGCUGAUGCGCGAAAGCGUGGGUAGCAAACAGG